AUUUGCAGUGAUGCAGCCGAGCGCAGUCUACGCUCCGCCGCAGUCCUCGCAGCCCACGCAGCCCCGACGAUGGAAACCGUGGCCGGAGAUGGCAAUCCCUAAAGGCAUCCCGAGGAGCUUCCUGGUGGCUCAGAAACACGAGUCGUUGACCCGCCCGCCCCUGCCGCAGUCGCACGAACAAUACACACAAGUCCCGCAACCGUACCAGCAUUCGUUCGCUUGGGGAUCCCAGCCCG
Molecule: long non-coding RNA, 236 nt
Organism: Achroia grisella
Lineage: Eukaryota; Metazoa; Arthropoda; Insecta; Lepidoptera; Pyralidae
Exons: 4
Source: RefSeq, a predicted model, not a curated record